UACAGAGGUCCCAAGCGUUGUUCGGAUUCACUGGGCGUAAAGGGCGCGUAGGCGGCCCGGUAAGUCACAGGUGAAAUCCCUCGGCUCAACUGAGGAACUGCCUUUGAAACUGUCGGGCUUGAGGCCGGGAGGGGGUAGCGGAAUUCCCAGUGUAGCGGUGAAAUGCGUAGAUAUCGGGAGGAACAUCAGUGGCGAAGGCGGCCUUCUGGUCCAGUACUGACACUCAAGUGCGAAAGCGUGGAGAGCAAACAGG
This 253-nucleotide ribosomal RNA is filed under the name uncultured bacterium. RNAcentral describes it as "partial 16S ribosomal RNA". It matches the Rfam family "Bacterial small subunit ribosomal RNA", at positions 524 to 776 of the family's 1533-position model. The record is from RNAcentral.